CCUACGGGAGGCAGCAGUGGGGAAUAUUGGGCAAUGGGCGCAAGCCUGACCCAGCAACGCCGCGUGAAGGAAGAAGGCUUUCGGGUUGUAAACUUCUUUUAAGAGGGAAGAGCAGAAGACGGUACCUCUUGCCUCAGCCACGGCUAACUACGUGCCAUCAGCCGCGGUAAUACGUAGGUGGCAAGCGUUUUCCGGAUUUACUGGGUGUAAAGGGCGUGUAGCCGGGCUGACAAGUCAGAUGUGAAAUCCCGUGGCUCAACCACGGAACUGCAUUUGAAACGGUCGGUCUUGAGUAUCGGAGAGGCAGGCGGAAUUCCUAGUGUAGCGGUAAAAUGCGUAGAUAUUAGGAGGAACACCAGUGGCGAAGGCGGCCUGCUGGACGACAACUGACGGUGAGGCGCGAAAGCGUGGGGAGCAAACAGGAUUAGAUACCCCUGUAC
RNAcentral lists this ribosomal RNA (440 nucleotides) under uncultured bacterium. RNAcentral describes it as "partial 16S ribosomal RNA". It matches the Rfam family "Bacterial small subunit ribosomal RNA", at positions 338 to 793 of the family's 1533-position model. The record is from RNAcentral.